GAUGAAGAACGCAACGAAAUGCGAUAAGUAAUGUGAAUUGCAGAAUUCAGUGAAUCAUCGAAUCUUUGAACGCACAUUGCGCCCGCCAGCACUCUGGCGGGCAUGCCUGUUCGAGCGUCAUUUCAACCAUCAAGCCCCCAGGGGCUUGUGCUGGGGCCCUGCGGCUGCCCGCAGGCCCUGAAAACCAGUGGCGGGCUCGCUAGUCACACCGAGCGCAGUAGCACAUCUCGCUCAGGGCGUGCGGCGGGCUCCUGCCGUGAAACCCCCCACUGUAACCCCAAAGGUUGACCUCGGAUCAGGUAGGAAUACCCGCUGAACUUAAGCAUAUCAAUAAGCGGAGGA
Molecule: unclassified non-coding RNA, 342 nt
Filed under: soil metagenome
Description: partial contains 5.8S ribosomal RNA, internal transcribed spacer 2, and large subunit ribosomal RNA
Rfam family: 5.8S ribosomal RNA (bases 1-120)
Source: RNAcentral